UACGAGAGGCCCAAACGUUAUUCGGAUUUACUGGGCUUAAAGAGUUCGUAGGCGGUUUGGUAAGUGGGGUGUGAAAUCCCUCGGCUCAACCGAGGAAUUGCGCUCCAAACUGCCAGGCUUGAGGGAGAUAGAGGUGAGCGGAACUGAUGGUGGAGCGGUGAAAUGCGUUGAUAUCAUCAGGAACACCAGAGGCGAAGGCGGCUCACUGGGUCUUUUCUGACGCUGAGGAACGAAAGCUAGGGGAGCAAACGGG
This 253-nucleotide ribosomal RNA is filed under the name uncultured bacterium. RNAcentral describes it as "partial 16S ribosomal RNA". It matches the Rfam family "Bacterial small subunit ribosomal RNA", at positions 524 to 776 of the family's 1533-position model. The record is from RNAcentral.